This 323-nucleotide unclassified non-coding RNA is filed under the name soil metagenome. Its description in RNAcentral is "partial contains 5.8S ribosomal RNA, internal transcribed spacer 2, and large subunit ribosomal RNA". The stretch from base 1 to 120 matches the Rfam family "5.8S ribosomal RNA", at positions 35 to 154 of the family's 154-position model. The record is from RNAcentral.
GAUGAAGAACGUAGCGAAAUGCGAUAAGUAGUGUGAAUUGCAGAAUUCAGUGAAUCAUCGAAUCUUUGAACGCACAUUGCGCCCCUUGGUAUUCCAUGGGGCAUGCCUGUUCGAGCGUCAUUUGUACCUUCAAGCUUUGCUUGGUGUUGGGUGUUUGUCCUGAGGGACUCGCCUUAAAGUAAUUGGCAGCCAGUGUUCGGUUUUGAAGCGCAGCACAAGUCGCGAUUCAAAGCUAUACGCCCGCUUCCACAAGCCUUUUUCACUUUUGACCUCGGAUCAGGUAGGGAUACCCGCUGAACUUAAGCAUAUCAAUAAGCGGAGGA